This 429-nucleotide ribosomal RNA is filed under the name bacterium. RNAcentral describes it as "partial 16S ribosomal RNA". It matches the Rfam family "Bacterial small subunit ribosomal RNA", at positions 355 to 776 of the family's 1533-position model. The record is from RNAcentral.
UGGGGAAUCUUCCGCACUGGGCGCAAGCCUGACGGAGCAACGCCGCGUGUGUGAAGAAGGUCUUCGGAUCGUAAAGCUCUGUUGAUUGGGACGAACGUGCCUAAUGCGAAUAGUAUUAGGUAAUGACGGUACCCAUCGAGGAAGCCACGGCUAACUACGUGCCAGCAGCCGCGGUAAUACGUAGGUGGCGAGCGUUGUCCGGAAUCAUUGGGCGUAAAGGGAGCGCAGGCGGGCAUGUAAGUCUUUCUUAAAAGUGCGGGGCUCAACCCCGUGAUGGGAAAGAAACUAUGUGUCUUGAGUACAGGAGAGGAAAGCGGAAGUCCCAGUGUAGCGGUGAAAUGCGUAGAUAUUGGGAGGAACACCAGUGGCGAAGGCGGCUGUCUGGACUGCAACUGACGCUGAGGCUCGAAAGCCAGGGGAGCGAACGGG